GAUGAAUCCAAGAAAGAUGAAUUUUGAAAAUGAAAGGGAUAAAAAAAAUUCAUUUCUGUAAAUACAGCCUGAAGCUUCGAGCUCAUUUGAGUGUUAGGAAUCACAAGGAUGUAUUCACAAAGUCUGACUACCAGAGGCAGAUCUGGGGGUUUGGGGACAACGGGCAGACCGAAGUGCUGCUCCAAAAGAUUGCCAAGGUGAAGGCCACAGGUGGUAGCUCUUUUUGGAAAUGAGCAAAGUAAUGGCUCCUCUGCACAUGGAGCAGAAGCUGCAUGUGAUUCUUCAGCCCCUAAACGAAUGCACAGACAGCCUCAUGUCCCUGCUUCUUACCCUGCAUCUGUAUGUGCCACGGACAGGCGAGGUGUGCCGAUCUCCGAGGCAGUGAGGGUUUCCAGUGCAGUUGCCUUUUACUGCCAAACCACAGUUUCUCUGAAUUAAACACUCUCUCUAAAUAAUACCAGUAGCCAUUUGUUGAUUGCCAGGACUCUCUGUGAUGUAGCUAUCAGCAUCGUUGACAAUGAAGAAACUACAGGUUAGAAUGUCUACCCAGGUCUCCGGACAUCACACACCCACGUCCUUCUGACUCCGUGUGCUCUUUGCUUUCACAACACAGACACUCACCUCUGUCAUGGUGGCCGGUUGGACAGAAGCACGGCUGGAUCCAGGGACCUUCCUCCCACUGGCUUCACCCACCUCUGCAUAAAACGGGUAGCAUCACUGCAAAUAGUUAAGAACCGUUAGCGUCUUAUCCAUCUCCUUCCUGUUCCCUCGCUGACUUCUGAUACGGCUUUAUAAAACCGGCACUGAGGAAGAGAAGAUAAAAUUAAUUGACAAAAUGAAUUAAUAUAAUAAAAUUAUAUUUAACAAAGAUAAAAUUAAUUAACAAAGGCUAGCUUGAGGAAGAGUAUACAAAUAAAAUUUAGUAGGGGAUAUGGGCUCUUUAAAAAUGAAAUAUAAUUCACGUACAGUGUUCUACUGUUCUCAGGCGUUGAAUGAACCGGAUAAUUCCCCGCUUACACCCCUCAGGAAAUUCAGGAUUCCACAGAUCCUAUGGAGUUGUGGGAUACAACCAGGAGCCUCCACAUUUUAUGUUAACUUCAACAGUCCUGUGGAGACCAAGGCAAUUUUGCUUUGGUUAAGCAGGAUGUAUUUUCAUUUUUAAGAAAACCUUCAGGUAGGUUUAUUCAAUUCUCUUAAAAAAUUGGUAGGAUUCUUUUUAAGUAUCCUUUCCAAAGCAACAGUUACAUAAUUGGAAUAGUGGAUUCAGUAUAAAAAAUGUAGUUCCUAGUUAAUGCUGUUUGCGUAUGAUCAUGAUUAAAGAUUAGGAUAGUCUUCACAUUUCCAAG
RNAcentral lists this long non-coding RNA (1346 nucleotides) under Mustela putorius furo (domestic ferret). RNAcentral describes it as "lncRNA (ENSMPUG00000030964.1)". Lineage: Eukaryota; Metazoa; Chordata; Mammalia; Carnivora; Mustelidae. The record is from RNAcentral.